This 497-nucleotide ribosomal RNA is filed under the name uncultured bacterium. RNAcentral's name for it is "partial 16S ribosomal RNA". It matches the Rfam family "Bacterial small subunit ribosomal RNA", at positions 28 to 507 of the family's 1533-position model. The record is from RNAcentral.
GAUGAACGCUGGCGGCGUGCCUAAUACAUGCAAGUCGAGCGAACAGACGAGGAGCUUGCUCCUUCGACGUUAGCGGCGGACGGGUGAGUAACACGUAGGUAACCUACCUAUAAGACUGGGAUAACUUCGGGAAACCGGAGCUAAUACCGGAUAAUAUUUCGAACCGCAUGGUUCGAUAGUGAAAGAUGGCUUUGCUAUCACUUAUAGAUGGACCCGCGCCGUAUUAGCUAGUUGGUAAGGUAACGGCUUACCAAGGCAACGAUACGUAGCCGACCUGAGAGGGUGAUCGGCCACACUGGAACUGAGACACGGUCCAGACUCCUACGGGAGGCAGCAGUAGGGAAUCUUCCACAAUGGGCGAAAGCCUGACGGAGCAACGCCGCGUGAGUGAUGAAGGUCUUCGGAUCGUAAAACUCUGUUAUUAGGGAAGAACAAACGUGUAAGUAACUGUGCACGUCUUGACGGUACCUAAUCAGAAAGCCACGGCUAACUACGUG